RNAcentral lists this long non-coding RNA (1524 nucleotides) under Equus caballus (horse). Its description in RNAcentral is "lncRNA (ENSECAG00000058424.1)". The record is from RNAcentral. Lineage: Eukaryota; Metazoa; Chordata; Mammalia; Perissodactyla; Equidae.
GAAGAGAGGAUAAGCCUUUGGCUUUUUAGUGUCCAAGGGACAGAACCAUGUGGUAUUUGUCUCAGAUCCUCACUGUAAGCUCAGAGUCUGAUAAAGAGCAGCUGUUGAAUAGGAAUUCAUUGAAUGACAGUAGCCAGGGUGGAUAAAAUUUGGAGAAGUGUUUUUAUAGUUGUUUAAGGUGGGACAAAUUUAAAGAUGUGAUUUAUAGAAGAGGAGUAAAUGGAGAGGAAGAGGUUAAGGACAUUAAGGAUGAAGGGGAAAGGGGAGUGUUUGCUGCCAAGGACCCAUAGGAAAUGGGAGGCAAUGGCAUCUACAAAGCCACUGGAAGGUUGCUUUCUCCCACUUUCUUACUUGCAUCUGAUGCUCUUCCCAUUUCACAGGGAAAACAGAAAUGACUAGAAGAGCCCUUGCUCAGACCCACAUCCCCGAGUCUCUCAAUGGUCAGCACCAGUGCUCACAUUUCUGUGUCCUCCUAUUCCUAAGGAUGAACUGGCUGUCAUCCUAUUAAGGUCACCUCUCCACAGGCACGCGGGUAUCAUUCCCUCUCCCCUUCACAGAGACUUCACUCCAGUACUUCUUGCCUCCUCUUCUGCUUCAUCAGUUUUCCUCUUCAAUGGUAUCAUUGCCAUCAGCAUACACACAUGCUUUUAAUUCUCUUAACGGGGCAAAAAGACAAAAACUAAACCUCUGCCUAAUUCUCACCCAGUUUUCUGUUUCUCCUCACUGCGAAACUCCUGGAGACAUUUUCCUUCACUCUCUCCAAUAAUGUAUUUAUGAAUUUUAUUUGUUUGUUUACCUAGAUUUUUUAAUCAGGAUGCUGAAAUGUGAAAGUCAUCCUAUAUGUUCCAGCUGACAGUUUACAAUGUGACGGAAAGGCAAGGAUAAACAUGAUUACUCUUCUUGAAAAUUCACUUCGUUUAGAAGGAGAGAACCACGAACACCUGCUCUCUGUUUAUCCAGAAUUCUGAAGGGAACUCAGUUUACCAAAGCAGCAUGGUGCACUCGGUCUGUUUGGGCCAGAGGCUCACUCUAAGAGCUAGGACACGUCAAGCUGCGAUGGGAACAGCCUCAGGCAGGGUUGACCAAGCAGAGUGCAGCCUCCCUGGGUCCUCUGCUGGUGUUGAGUUUCCUUGCUCUAUAACCAGACCCAUCAGGAUGGAGAUCACGUGCUGGGCCCCUCUGCCUACAGAGAGAUUAUGAAUUGGAAGAAAUCUCAGAUUUUACAUGUUCCAGCUUCCUUCUGCCAGUCAGACGAAUGAUGGUAAAACUGAAAAAACAGUGUCAGCCAGAGGAUCUCACUGAGUAAAUCACGUGACGCAGAGAGCGGUGGGAGGGCAGUAAACAUGUCUACGGAAAUGGCUGACAAGUACUGAAAGGAAUAUUCCUGCCCGUGUCUAUGUUCUCCCCUGUAUUCAGAGGCUGGAAGUCUGAAAACUGCGUUUCCGGGCUUACCAGCAGGAUAGUAACUGCGAUUCCACCGCUGAGUGGUGCGACUCGGGCCCUGGAAGCAGGAGGAUCCACAGC